This 270-nucleotide ribosomal RNA is filed under the name uncultured archaeon. Its description in RNAcentral is "partial 16S ribosomal RNA". It matches the Rfam family "Archaeal small subunit ribosomal RNA", at positions 477 to 747 of the family's 1478-position model. The record is from RNAcentral.
CAGCACCUCAAGUGCUCAGGAUGAUUAUUGGGCCUAAAGCAUCCGUAGCCGGCGCUGUAAGUUUUCGGUUAAAUCUGUACGCUCAACGUACAGGCUGCCGGGAAUACUGCAGCGCUAGGGAGUGGGAGAGGUAGACGGUACUCGGUAGGAAGGGGUAAAAUCCUUUGAUCUAUUGAUGACCACCUGUGGCGAAGGCGGUCUACCAGAACACGUCCGACGGUGAGGGAUGAAAGCUGGGGGAGCAAACCGGAUUAGAUACCCGAGUAGUCC